GCCGGCUUAGCUCAGAGGUAGAGCAACGGUUUUGUAAACCGUGGGUCGAGGGUUCGAAUCCCUCAGCCGGCU
This is a transfer RNA of Methylacidiphilum fumariolicum SolV, 72 nucleotides long. It matches the Rfam family "tRNA". From Rfam's summary of the family: Transfer RNA (tRNA) molecules are approximately 80 nucleotides in length. Their secondary structure includes four short double-helical elements and three loops (D, anti-codon, and T loops). Further hydrogen bonds mediate the characteristic L-shaped molecular structure. tRNAs have two regions of fundamental functional importance: the anti-codon, which is responsible for specific mRNA codon recognition, and the 3' end, to which the tRNAs corresponding amino acid is attached (by aminoacyl-tRNA synthetases). tRNAs cope with the degeneracy of the genetic code in two manners: having more than one tRNA (with a specific anti-codon) for a particular amino acid; and 'wobble' base-pairing, i.e. permitting non-standard base-pairing at the 3rd anti-codon position. The record is from Rfam. NCBI's taxonomy places the organism in Bacteria, Pseudomonadati, Verrucomicrobiota, Methylacidiphilae, Methylacidiphilales, Methylacidiphilaceae.